This 468-nucleotide ribosomal RNA is filed under the name uncultured bacterium. RNAcentral describes it as "partial 16S ribosomal RNA". It matches the Rfam family "Bacterial small subunit ribosomal RNA", at positions 28 to 507 of the family's 1533-position model. The record is from RNAcentral.
GACGAACGCUGGCGGCGUGCUUAACACAUGCAAGUCGAACGGAAAGGCCCUGCCUUUGAGGCGUGCUCGAGUGGCGAACGGGUGAGUAACACGUGAGUAACCUGCCCAUCACUUUGGGAUAACUUCUGGAAACGGGGGCUAAUACCGGAUACGAGCUCCUGCUGCAUGGUGGGGGGUGGAAAAUUUCGUCGGUUGGGGAUGGACUCGCGGCUUAUCAGCUUGUUGGUGGGGUAGUGGCUUACCAAGGCCGUGACGGGUAGCCGGCCUGAGAGGGUGAGCGGCCACAUUGGGACUGAGAUACGGCCCAGACUCCUACGGGAGGCAGCAGUGGGGAAUAUUGCACAAUGGGCGGAAGCCUGAUGCAGCAACGCCGCGUGCGGGAUGACGGCCUUCGGGUUGUAAACCGCUUUCGGCAGUGACGAAGCGUAAGUGACGGUACUUGGAGAAGAAGCACCGGCUAACUACGUG